Long non-coding RNA from Oryzias melastigma (Indian medaka), 1509 nucleotides. RefSeq lists it as uncharacterized. NCBI's taxonomy places the organism in Eukaryota, Metazoa, Chordata, Actinopteri, Beloniformes, Adrianichthyidae. The record is from RefSeq and is a predicted model, not a curated record. The transcript has 2 exons.
GGAAAGUGGGCAACUUUUACAACCAAUGGUUUUACCCCUAGAGGCCAAUUUUUGUAUUUACACACCUAAAAUGACCUUACUCUUUGCAAUAGCUUUUUCAAUGAAAAUCAGAGAAACCUUAAACCAAAUAUAUCCAUUAGAGGAGGAGAGUAUGGAUCUUGUAAUACAUAACACAUAGUACAUUUUUUUUGUUUUUUUUAAUAAAGUUUUUUUCCUGUAAUAAUACUGAUGAAAAUAUAACUUUGCAAUUAAACUAGAGUGGAUUACAGACCAGUGGCUUUGACGUCUCAUCUGAUGAAGACGAUGGAGAGGCUGGUGCUCACUCAUCUUUGUCCCAUGUGCUUUUAAUACCAUCCAUUCAACCAUCACUCCUGAGGGAUAAGCUGGAGAACAUGGGCGUGGACCAACAUCUGUGUGCAUGGAUUCUGGAUUAUCUCUCACACCGCCUGCAGUAUGUCAGGGCUGACCGCUGUGAGUCUGACAAGGAACAGUUCAGGCCCGUUUCUUUUCACUGCCUACACUGCAGACUUCAUGUACAACUCCGGUUCCGUUUAUCUACAGAAGUUCUCGGAUGACUCUGCCAUUGUCGGCUUGAUUCAGGAUGACGAUAACAGAGUACAGAGAUGUGAUCCAGAGCUUUGUGGAUUGGUGCUAGCGGAACCACCUGCAGAUCAAUGCAGGGAAAACAAAGGAGCUGGUGGUGGACUUCCAGAGGCACUCCCACUCUACACCAACUGUGGUGGACAUCCAGGGAAUGGACAUUGAAAUAGUGGAGUCCUACAAGUACCUGGGUGUUCACCUGAACAAUAAGCUGGACUGGUCCGACAACACUAACGCACUCUACAAAAAAGGGCAGAGCAGACUAUUCCUGCUGCGGAGACUGAGAUCAUUUGGAGUCCAGGGAACACUCCUAAAGACCUUCUAUGACUCUGUGGUGGCUUCAGCCAUCUUUUAUGGAGUGGUCUGCUGGUGCAGCAGCAUCUCCACAGCAGACAGGAGGAACUUGGUGAGGAAGGCCAGCUCAGUUCUGGGGCUGCCGCUUUAGUCUGUGCAGGAGGUGGGGGAAAGGAGGAUGUUUGCCAAGCUAGCAUCCCUGAUGAGCAACGACGCCCAUCCCCUCGGUGACACGGUGCUGGCUCUAAGCAGCUCUUUUAGCCACAGAAUGAUCCACCCCAGGUGGUCAUUCCUACCGGCUGCAGUGACACUGUUCAAUCUGAGCUGCCCCUAGUUAUACUUUCCUGGGAUGUUGAUACCAUCAGCCAGUUUAUUUUUUAUUUUUAUCAUCACUUUAUUACUACUCAAUUCAAGUCACUUUACAAUAUUUUGUGCAAUUUCUGUAACACUAAUCAUAUCCACAGUUCAAAUGCUUCCUCUUUUCAUUUUUCUUUUGUAUUUUUAUUUACGCACAUUGUUAUCUUUUAAAUAUCUUUUUGAUUUUUCUUUAUCUGUAAAGCUGCUGUAACCUGGAAAUUUCCCCACCGGGGGACAAAUAAAGGACUAUCUUAUCUA